RNAcentral lists this ribosomal RNA (465 nucleotides) under Vreelandella stevensii. RNAcentral's name for it is "partial 16S ribosomal RNA". It matches the Rfam family "Bacterial small subunit ribosomal RNA", at positions 338 to 795 of the family's 1533-position model. Lineage: Bacteria; Pseudomonadati; Pseudomonadota; Gammaproteobacteria; Oceanospirillales; Halomonadaceae. The record is from RNAcentral.
CCUACGGGAGGCUGCAGUGGGGAAUAUUGGACAAUGGGGGCAACCCUGAUCCAGCCAUGCCGCGUGUGUGAAGAAGGCCCUCGGGUUGUAAAGCACUUUCAGUGAGGAAGAACGCCUGGUGGUUAAUACCCAUCAGGAAAGACAUCACUCACAGAAGAAGCACCGGCUAACUCCGUGCCAGCAGCCGCGGUAAUACGGAGGGUGCGAGCGUUAAUCGGAAUUACUGGGCGUAAAGCGCGCGUAGGUGGCUCGAUAAGCCGGUUGUGAAAGCCCCGGGCUCAACCUGGGAACGGCAUCCGGAACUGUCAAGCUAGAGUGCAGGAGAGGAAGGUAGAAUUCCUGGUGUAGCGGUGAAAUGCGUAGAGAUCGGGAGGAAUACCAGUGGCGAAGGCGGCCUUCUGGACUGACACUGACACUGAGGUGCGAAAGCGUGGGUAGCAAACAGGAUUAGAUACCCUAGUAGUC